GUGAGGUAACGGCCCACCAAGGCGUCGACGGGUAGCUGGUCUGAGAGGAUGAUCAGCCACACUGGGACUGAGACACGGCCCAGACUCCUACGGGAGGCAGCAGUGGGGAAUCUUGCGCAAUGGGCGAAAGCCUGACGCAGCAACGCCGCGUGCGGGACGACGGCCCUCGGGUUGUAAACCGCUUUCAGCAGGAACGAUGAUGACGGUACCUGCAGAAGAAGCUCCGGCCAACUACGUGCCAGCAGCCGCGGUAAUACGUAGGGAGCAAGCGUUGUCCGGAUUUAUUGGGCGUAAAGAGCUCGUAGGCGGUUCGGUAAGUCGGGUGUGAAAACUCUGGGCUCAACCCGGAGAGGCCACUCGAUACUGCCGUGACUUGAGUCUGGUAGGGGAGCACGGAAUUCCUGGUGUAGCGGUGAAAUGCACAGAUAUCAGGAGGAACACCGGUGGCGAAGGCGGUGCUCUGGGCCAGUACUGACGCUGAGGAGCGAAAGCGUGGGGAGCGAACAGGAUUAGAUACCCUGGUAGUCCACGCCGUAAACGUUGGGCACUAGGUGUGGGGGGACGUCAACUCCCUCCGUGCCGUAGCUAACGCAUUAAGUG
RNAcentral lists this ribosomal RNA (600 nucleotides) under uncultured Actinomycetes bacterium. RNAcentral describes it as "bacterial SSU rRNA". It matches the Rfam family "Bacterial small subunit ribosomal RNA", at positions 252 to 866 of the family's 1533-position model. Lineage: Bacteria; Bacillati; Actinomycetota; Actinomycetes. The record is from RNAcentral.